AACUGUAAUGAAAUAAUUGAAAUAUUUAAUUUUUCAUAAUUUUUUUAUAAAAUAAAAAUAUUGUAUAAUACAUACCAAUACCAACAAGAGAGUUCACAAUAUAUGGAAGUGCUGUUAAACUAAUACUUUCUUUAUUAGCAGAAAGAUUUCUAGCCAAGUACAAAUAAUGGGAUUUCAUCUUGAGAAUUAGUUUCGUGAUAUAAUAAUAACCAUAAAAGUGUCCAUAUAAUACCAAUUAUACCAAAUAAAUAAAAUCCUGUUUGCCAUGACAAAUGAGGACACAACUAAAAAAUAACAUUAUAAUAUACAUAUAAUAUAAUAUACAUUUUAAACAUACAAUAGAUGCAACAACUUGUCCAACAGAGCCAGCUGCUACAAGAUAUCCAAAUGCUCUAGAUCGUUCCUCUACAGGUACAUUAUGUGCAAAUAAGUGAAAAAUAACUGGUAAACCUAAUAACAAUUUAGAGAAAAAUAUAUGAUUUACAAAA
Long non-coding RNA from Apis dorsata (giant honeybee), 488 nucleotides. RefSeq lists it as uncharacterized. Lineage: Eukaryota; Metazoa; Arthropoda; Insecta; Hymenoptera; Apidae. The transcript is spliced from 3 exons. The record is from RefSeq and is a predicted model, not a curated record.